Molecule: long non-coding RNA, 1270 nt
Organism: Cimex lectularius (bed bug)
Lineage: Eukaryota; Metazoa; Arthropoda; Insecta; Hemiptera; Cimicidae
Exons: 3
Source: RefSeq, a predicted model, not a curated record
AUAAAACAUAAUGCAAAGAAACGUCGAAAGUUCACAUCGGCAAAACAACUGAUGACAAAAUUACAUUUGUUACUACGGAUGUUUACACAAAACUGAUUUCAAUUAAUUAAUUAUAAAUUUUUUAAUGAGCUUAUCUCUUCCUUAUUGAUUAUAUAUAAAGGCUGAUAUUAAUUAUAGUAGAGAUAAUUCAGUAUUUGUAAUAUGGUUCUUUAUUAAAAUGAAUGUGUUUUGGCUUUUUCAGUUCUGUUCGAGUGACACCCAACACUGAAGUUGGCGAAAUUCUACCGGACCGGACCUGCGAGAAUAGGUAGAGAAAAAAUAAUUGGUAUUGACUAAAUUAUUGUUUUCUCAGAUGCCAGUGACUGGUCCUAUCCUAGUUUGCCAGUUUCUGUGAGGAUCCACUUUGUGAUGGAGGAUUCUAGGUUUGUUUUUUGUUAACCCAGGAAUAGGUUCCAGAGCAUAUCAUCUUGCGGAUCCACCUUUAGCCAGUUUAUAGGGCCACUUGACUGACGGAUUUCACAGGAUUCUUUUGCCAGUUUAACCUCUUUUAAGAGUUUCAGUGCACAUUUAAAGCAUGCAUUUCAGCUUGAUUUCAAGGUGUACUUAUGAGUUUGAUUGUAUUUUGGCCUUGCAUAGAACCUAUUCCUUAAGUGGUUGUUGGGUGAUCUGUAUGCCACAUAACUUGAUAACUUUUAAGGAGUAGAACUGUUAUUGACUUAUUGCAGAAAUUCUUUUUCAGGGUCAUUUUGGUACCCUGGGUUAUGUCCCUGAGCAAUUGCUUUGCAUUUAAGUGCAUCUUGAUGAUUCAAUUAUAGACAACAUCAGCUGGGCUGAGGUGGGUGAGGCUUUAACUAAAUAAAAUUUAUAAUUUUGAAACGAGGGUGGUGGAUCUUGUCAGGCUGUCUUUAACUUGAGGUUUACACAGGAGUCUAGAGGAGACAAGACAUGACAAAACUCCAUGCUGUCACCUCAGCCAUGUGACCAGUUGAUAAUGAAACCGGUGUCGACUAGUGCAAGUGAUCUGGUACUGUCCAACUGUUUUUGAAUGAAUAACAAACUUUUUGAAAACACAGCUGAUUGUACAAAACAUUUGUAACAAUUAAAUUUGUAGAAAUACUGAAACUAAAUAUGUCGAGUCCUUUUUAUUCACCUACAAUAAAUAGUUGUGGAGAUGUAAGGUGAUAUCUAAGACAAGCUUAAAUCAUGUCACCAUUAGUCGCCGGGGGACAAGAGCCACUGUGACAAGUCGAGUCACAUCCAGUCACCUGUU